Plutella xylostella (diamondback moth) is the source of this 419-nucleotide non-coding RNA. Lineage: Eukaryota; Metazoa; Arthropoda; Insecta; Lepidoptera; Plutellidae. The record is from RefSeq and is a predicted model, not a curated record.
ACGCUCCCGCCUGCCCGUGUGUGCGGGCCGCCCGCGAUUUACACACACAAUAGACAGCAAAUUAAUGCCUACAUAUCUUAUACAAUAGGUUCAAUCUACUUAUCCGUGGGUACAUAUUAUUAGAAGUUAAAUUAAAAUAAAAUAAAAGCAAUAACAAGAUAGUAAUACUUACAUCUACAACAUGUACUCACAGUCACCACUACUAGCAAAGUGUUUUUUGAUCGAUAAGAUGAAGUUUUUGUCGUUUAGGUAACUUUGUGUGGUAUCAUUAUUCAAAUCAUUUAAUAAGUUGAAGUUACUCUUUACCAACUUCUUUCAAAGUACCUACUUAUAACAAACAUUUUUAUUAUUUGUUUGGAUUGUAUUUGUGAUGGCGCAUAUAGUAUUAAUUGCGUUGGAGGAAAACGAAAGGCUAAAAA